RNAcentral lists this ribosomal RNA (440 nucleotides) under uncultured bacterium. Its description in RNAcentral is "partial 16S ribosomal RNA". It matches the Rfam family "Bacterial small subunit ribosomal RNA", at positions 338 to 795 of the family's 1533-position model. The record is from RNAcentral.
CCUACGGGAGGCAGCAGUGGGGAAUAUUGCACAAUGGGGGAAACCCUGAUGCAGCGACGCCGCGUGAGCGAUGAAGUAUUUCGGUAUGUAAAGCUCUAUCAGCAGGGAAGAAAAUGACGGUACCUGACUAAGAAGCCCCGGCUAACUACGUGCCAGCAGCCGCGGUAAUACGUAGGGGGCAAGCGUUAUCCGGAUUUACUGGGUGUAAAGGGAGCGUAGACGGUCGUGCAAGCCAGAUGUGAAAGCCCGGGGCUCAACCCCGGGACUGCAUUUGAAACUGUAAGGCUAGAGUGUCGGAGAGGCAGGCGGAAUUCCUAGUGUAGCGGUGAAAUGCGUAGAUAUUAGGAGGAACACCGGUUGCGAAGGCAGCUUGCUAGGCCGGAUCUGACACUGAUGCACGAAAGCGUGGGGAUCGAACAGGAUUAGAUACCCCAGUAGUC